UGUUAAAAAUUUCAUCCAUUUCUAUUGUUAAAAACUGGUAUGACUGAUGAAAUAACUAACUAGUUACACAUGGUGUGUCACAUGCACCUCAUGUUGAUGUACAUGAACUAGUUUUUAAUAGUAAAAGUUAAUGGAAUUUUUAACA
Non-coding RNA from Gossypium raimondii (Peruvian cotton), 145 nucleotides. The record is from Rfam. NCBI's taxonomy places the organism in Eukaryota, Viridiplantae, Streptophyta, Magnoliopsida, Malvales, Malvaceae.